This 492-nucleotide ribosomal RNA is filed under the name uncultured bacterium. RNAcentral's name for it is "partial 16S ribosomal RNA". It matches the Rfam family "Bacterial small subunit ribosomal RNA", at positions 29 to 507 of the family's 1533-position model. The record is from RNAcentral.
AGUGAACGCUGGCGGUAGGCCUAACACAUGCAAGUCGAACGGCAGCACAGUAAGAGCUUGCUCUUACGGGUGGCGAGUGGCGGACGGGUGAGGAAUACAUCGGAAUCUACUUUUUCGUGGGGGAUCACGUAGGGAAACUUACGCUCAUACCGCAUACGACCUACGGGUGAAAGAAGGGGAUCUUCUGACCUUGCGCGAUUGAAUGCGCCGAUGUCGGAUUUGCUAGUUGGCGGGGUAAAGGCCCACCAAGGCGAGGAUCCGUAGCUGGUCUGAGAGGAUGAUCAGCCACACUGGAACUGAGACAGGGUCCAGACUCCUACGGGAGGCAGCAGUGGGGAAUAUUGGACAAUGGGCGCAAGCCUGAUCCAGCCAUACCGCGUGUGUGAAGAAGGCCUUCGGGUUGUAAAGCCCUUUUGUUGGGAAAGAAAAGCAGCAGGUUAAUACCCCGCUGUUCUGACGGUACUCAAAGAAUAAGCACCGGCUAACUUCGUG